AGUGAACGCUGGCGGUAGGCCUAACACAUGCAAGUCGAACGGCAGCACAGUAAGAGCUUGCUCUUACGGGUGGCGAGUGGCGGACGGGUGAGGAAUACAUCGGAAUCUACUUUUUCGUGGGGGAUAACGUAGGGAAACUUACGCUAAUACCGCAUACGACCUACGGGUGAAAGCAGGGGAUCUUCGGACCUUGCGCGAUUGAAUGAGCCGAUGUCGGAUUAGCUAGUUGGCGGGGUAAAGGCCCACCAAGGCGACGAUCCGUAGCUGGUCUGAGAGGAUGAUGCGCCACACUGGAACUGAGACACGGUCCAGACUCCUACGGGAGGCAGCAGUGGGGAAUAUUGGACAAUGGGCGCAAGCCUGAUCCAGCCAUACCGCGUGGGUGAAGAAGGCCUUCGGGUUGUAAAGCCCUUUUGUUGGGAAAGAAAAGCAGCAGGUUAAUACCCCGCUGUCCUGACGGUACCCAAAGAAUAAGCACCGGCUAACUUCGUG
RNAcentral lists this ribosomal RNA (492 nucleotides) under uncultured bacterium. Its description in RNAcentral is "partial 16S ribosomal RNA". It matches the Rfam family "Bacterial small subunit ribosomal RNA", at positions 29 to 507 of the family's 1533-position model. The record is from RNAcentral.